CGCCCUUGCGUGAUGGUCAUGCUAUCCAACCACAUUGCUCAUGAGAUGGUACCUGCUCUGCUAUGUUUGUCUGAAAUUCUGUUCUCUAGUUGAAUAUAUAUCUCGAUGCCUUGGUAGUAUGUGUGUGGGCUGUGUGUAUUACGUCUAUCAGGAGUUCAGGACAUUAGAUGCAAGUCUGCCCCUUAGUCAAUCAUGACGAGCUGCUGCUUCGUUUUCUCCCCCGGAACAAACUUGUGUUGUGCGGGUGAGUUUGAGAUUUUAGAGGAAACGGAAAAUCGGUGCUGCUAACUGUUGUUGCUUGGCGUCUACAUAGUUGAGCUUGGCUUAAACAGCAUGAUAUGAUUAUUCAGUCCAUGAUAGUCAUUCCGCUCUUACGCCGAUCGACAUUUCACAACAUUAUGCUCUGGUUCUUGCAUGAUCAAUCCUUGCUGCGGGCAGUAGUUCAAUUGAAGUUUUUGCCCCAACUUCUUCACACUAUUCUUCACCUGAUGUUCAUGCUAUGCAACCACAUUGCUCAUGGGUUUGUACCUGCUAUGUUUGUCUGAAGUUUUGCUGUCUAGAUCAAUAUAUAUACCGUUGCCUUGGAAGGGUUUGUGUGUAUAAUUACUUCUAUCAGGACAUUAGAUGCAAGGCUGCCCCUUAGUAAAUCAUGUUGAGCAGCUGUUUCAUUUUCCCACUAAGCAAGAGUAAGAGUACUUGAAACCAAUUGCUACAAAUUUUAGAGGAAACUGAGAUUUUAGAGGAAACUGAGAAUUGGUUCCGCUCAUUCUUAUCGAUCAGCAUAUAGACAGUUGAGGUUAGUUUGAAUAGCAUAGUGACUUGAUUAUUCGGUCCCGAUAACCGUUGCCCUCGCAGCGUUGUACCUGAAAACAAGAGUGAGAGUAUUUGGAUCUGAUUGCUAUGGUUUGCAGUAGCUUUAUAAUUCCCCUGCUACAGCUCAUUGGUUUAUAGGAACUUGGACUCAUUAAUUGCCUAGCUCUGUAGCUGCCUGUAUUACAAUUCCUGCAGUUCUUUCGGUGGAGAGCAGCAGCUAGUUUAUGUCUUUGUUGCUGUUUUGAUCGGCCACCAGUAGCAUUGCAUCGAGGAAGCUCAGCUUAGAAUGUUUGGAGGGUCACUGUCAUACAGCAGUAAUAAUAUUGGAUAAUCAUUUCUUUUAUACAUAUGUAGCGGGGCAGCAUUGAUUUUAUUGAGCUCACUGUUUCAAUCAUCCAUGACUGAUAUGAUGAACCAUCAGCUUGUAUGCUUCGGCAUGUUUUCCAUUUGAGCUCUAGGAUUAGUAUGUUUGUGUCCUCUAGCCUUUAUCUUUAGUAGUUAUUAAAUCUUGCUUUUACUGUUUUGCCUUUCUACUUGUUACAGUAAUUAGCUUGCCCUUUAAUUUAGUAAUCUUUGCUGUUCUGAUUGUGACCAUAUUCAGAUCAUUGAUAUGGUUGUUAGACUAUUCCGAAUUUAUUUGCCGAGCUUCGACCACGAAUGGAUGACAUGUCAAAUAAACUGCAGGAAACAGAACAUGCAAGGGAUCAAGAGGAGAUGAAGAUAAAGCAUACUGAGUUGGAGGCGAAACUGGUGCGUCUGCUGAGUCAAAUCUGAAAGUUGCAUGUGAAGAAAGCUGCAGGUUCAAAUAUGAAACAACCUGAUGAUGUAACUUUUCAAGAGAGAAGUGAAGCUCAAAACUGAAAGUUGCAGGUGAAGAAAGCUGCAAGUUCAAAUCUAAAACAACCUGGUGAUGUAACUUUUCAUGGGAGAAGUGAAGCUACGAUGGAGAGAGAGGCAAGAAUGGGCAAUGAAGCGUAGGUUUUAGUUGUUCGUGAAAAAAAUUUAGAAAUAAUUGUACUUUGCCUGUGUUUCUUUAUCAAGGCAAUUAUCUUGUUGACAGUACUUUAAUUACAUGUUGGUUCUUGAAUGAAGUACUC
This 1910-nucleotide long non-coding RNA is filed under the name Setaria italica (foxtail millet). Its description in RNAcentral is "long non-coding RNA (SITA_LNC002705)". Lineage: Eukaryota; Viridiplantae; Streptophyta; Magnoliopsida; Poales; Poaceae. The record is from RNAcentral.